AAAACGACUCUCGGCAACGGAUAUCUCGGCUCUCGCAUCGAUGAAGAACGUAGCGAAAUGCGAUACUUGGUGUGAAUUGCAGAAUCCCGUGAACCAUCGAGUUUUUGAACGCAAGUUGCGCCCGAAGCCCUCGGGCCAGGGCACGUCUGCCUGGGCGUCACGCA
Molecule: ribosomal RNA, 164 nt
Filed under: Alternanthera halimifolia
Lineage: Eukaryota; Viridiplantae; Streptophyta; Magnoliopsida; Caryophyllales; Amaranthaceae
Description: 5.8S ribosomal RNA
Rfam family: 5.8S ribosomal RNA
About the family: 5.8S ribosomal RNA (5.8S rRNA) is a component of the large subunit of the eukaryotic ribosome.
Source: RNAcentral